AUUGAACGCUGGCGGCAGGCCUAACACAUGCGAGUCGAGCGCGAAAGUUCUUCGGAAUGAGUAAAGCGGCGGACGGGUGAGUAAUACAUGGGAAUCUGCCUGGUAGUGGGGGACAACGUUUCGAAAGGAACGCUAAUACCGCAUACGCCCUACGGGGGAAAGGGGGGGAUCUUCGGACCUCUCGCUAUCAGAUGAGCCCA
RNAcentral lists this ribosomal RNA (200 nucleotides) under uncultured bacterium. RNAcentral's name for it is "partial 16S ribosomal RNA". It matches the Rfam family "Bacterial small subunit ribosomal RNA", at positions 30 to 233 of the family's 1533-position model. The record is from RNAcentral.